Rattus norvegicus (Norway rat) is the source of this 69-nucleotide non-coding RNA. The record is from Rfam. NCBI's taxonomy places the organism in Eukaryota, Metazoa, Chordata, Mammalia, Rodentia, Muridae.
GGGGAUUUAGCUCAAUGGUAGAGCACUUGCCUAGCAAGCGCAAGGCCCUGGGUUCGGUCCCCAGCUCCA